UAUACAAAGCAUAUGAUGAGAAAACACUGAAACUUGACCCUGUAUGAAGUAUAUUCAGUCCAACGCUGAGCUUUGUGUC
Tyto alba (common barn owl) is the source of this 79-nucleotide small nucleolar RNA. It matches the Rfam family "Small nucleolar RNA SNORD69". Rfam says of the family: snoRNA HBII-210 belongs to the C/D family of snoRNAs. It is the human orthologue of the mouse MBII-210 and is predicted to guide the 2'O-ribose methylation of large 28S rRNA on residue G4464. The record is from Rfam. NCBI's taxonomy places the organism in Eukaryota, Metazoa, Chordata, Aves, Strigiformes, Tytonidae.